AUGAUGCCUUGUGAUUUCUUUGCUACUACCUUGCAUUACAUGAUACCAUCACUUAAGAUUGAUUUGAAAACUCAUUUGCUUGGAUAUGAUGAUAUAUACCCUGUUAGUGGCAUUACUCUCAUUUGUGAUGAUCAUAGUUACUUUCCUUGUGCUAGUCCUAUGCUUAAUGAAACAUAUCAUUCCCAUGCUAGUCUUGAGCUUAAUGAUAAAUAUCAUCCUCAUGUUAGUGUUGACCUUGCUGAUUUCUACCAUCCUAAACAUGUGCUUUAUAGCUAUGCUUAUGUAAUUGGAUAUUUGAUUGAUGACUUGGAGGGUAUUAUCCCUACCACUUGCAUUGUCUCUUUGGUUGAGUGCUCUUUCAGGUUGUUGCUUGUGCACGAUCCACUACAUGCUGACCAAGUUCGAGAUGACAUUCCCUGGGACCCUGGUGGACCCAUGGCAUGGGGAUGA
RNAcentral lists this ribosomal RNA (450 nucleotides) under Triticum aestivum (bread wheat). RNAcentral's name for it is "partial small subunit ribosomal RNA". Lineage: Eukaryota; Viridiplantae; Streptophyta; Magnoliopsida; Poales; Poaceae. The record is from RNAcentral.